This 720-nucleotide ribosomal RNA is filed under the name Pseudomonas costantinii. RNAcentral describes it as "bacterial SSU rRNA". It matches the Rfam family "Bacterial small subunit ribosomal RNA", at positions 50 to 766 of the family's 1533-position model. The record is from RNAcentral. Lineage: Bacteria; Pseudomonadati; Pseudomonadota; Gammaproteobacteria; Pseudomonadales; Pseudomonadaceae.
GCCACCUGCAGUCGAGCGGUAGAGAGAAGCUUGCUUCUCUUGAGAGCGGCGGACGGGUGAGUAAUGCCUAGGAAUCUGCCUGGUAGUGGGGGAUAACGUUCGGAAACGGACGCUAAUACCGCAUACGUCCUACGGGAGAAAGCAGGGGACCUUCGGGCCUUGCGCUAUCAGAUGAGCCUAGGUCGGAUUAGCUAGUUGGUGAGGUAAUGGCUCACCAAGGCGACGAUCCGUAACUGGUCUGAGAGGAUGAUCAGUCACACUGGAACUGAGACACGGUCCAGACUCCUACGGGAGGCAGCAGUGGGGAAUAUUGGACAAUGGGCGAAAGCCUGAUCCAGCCAUGCCGCGUGUGUGAAGAAGGUCUUCGGAUUGUAAAGCACUUUAAGUUGGGAGGAAGGGCAGUUGCCUAAUACGUAACUGUUUUGACGUUACCGACAGAAUAAGCACCGGCUAACUCUGUGCCAGCAGCCGCGGUAAUACAGAGGGUGCAAGCGUUAAUCGGAAUUACUGGGCGUAAAGCGCGCGUAGGUGGUUUGUUAAGUUGGAUGUGAAAUCCCCGGGCUCAACCUGGGAACUGCAUUCAAAACUGACUGACUAGAGUAUGGUAGAGGGUGGUGGAAUUUCCUGUGUAGCGGUGAAAUGCGUAGAUAUAGGAAGGAACACCAGUGGCGAAGGCGACCACCUGGACUGAUACUGACACUGAGGUGCGAAAGCGUGGGG